This 468-nucleotide ribosomal RNA is filed under the name uncultured bacterium. RNAcentral describes it as "partial 16S ribosomal RNA". It matches the Rfam family "Bacterial small subunit ribosomal RNA", at positions 28 to 507 of the family's 1533-position model. The record is from RNAcentral.
GACGAACGCUGGCGGCGUGCUUAACACAUGCAAGUCGAACGGAAAGGCCCUGCUUUUGUGGGGUGCUCGAGUGGCGAACGGGUGAGUAACACGUGAGUAACCUGCCCUUGACUUUGGGAUAACUUCAGGAAACUGGGGCUAAUACCGGAUAGGAGCUCCUGCUGCAUGGUGGGGGUUGGAAAGUUUCGGCGGUUGGGGAUGGACUCGCGGCUUAUCAGCUUGUUGGUGGGGUAGUGGCUUACCAAGGCUUUGACGGGUAGCCGGCCUGGGAGGGUGACCGGCCACAUUGGGACUGAGAUACGGCCCAGACUCCUACGGGAGGCAGCAGUGGAGAAUAUUGCACAAUGAGCGGAAGCCUGAUGCAGCAACGCCGCGUGCGGGAUGACGGCCUUCGGGUUGUAAACCGCUUUCGCCUGUGACGAAGCGUGAGUGACGGUAAUGGGUAAAGAAGCACCGGCUAACUACGUG